ACGUCUCUCUCAUCUUCUUCUCUCUCUCUCUUCUCAUCUUCCUCUCUUCUUCUUCAUUUAAAAUUUCCGCCGCCGCCUGCCCGGUGAGAGGAGUGCAACCGCCGACCGUCGCUCAGCAUCGUUGUACUCCCGAUGUCGCCUUCGAUCCGUCAGCGUCGUCGUCGCGGUGGGGGUCCAGCCGCCGGCUUACUCAGCCGCUGCACAGUGCCGUCGGGGCUGUUCCGUCGCUGCUGCAGUUCGCCAACGGGAGCUGCUACCGCGGGGGAAAGGUGUCGCUGCUGUCACCGGCCGCUCACUGCUGUCUGCUGGAGUAGUCGGAAGCACUGCUGUCCGCCGCUGCCGGCGCCUCCCUCCUCUGCCGGCAGCUUCCUCUUCCCCGGAAAUACUCCGAACUACCUCGAUUCAACCCGCAAGUUAUGUUUUCAACACAAAGUAUGAAUGAGGAAGGUGGAUGGAUGGAAGAUGGAAGAGUUAGAAAUGGAGGGUCUCCAUGGUGAAGAAACCGUCGACCAUGGGGGAGAGGAAGGAGAAGAGAAAAAGUUCUUGGGCUUGUUCCCACAUUUUGGAAUGAAUUGGGCUCCCGUUUGAUUUAAUUGAUUUGGGCUUAUUUAGUUGCAAGCCCAAUUUGUAUAAUUAUUUAGUUGUUAGGCUUUUUGAUUGUUAUGGCCCAAGGCCAUUCUAUAUAAACAGUUGGACUCCCAUUUUUUUUGAGAAGCCCAAGUAUAAAAAUACUUUGCAUUCUCGCAUUUCAUUCAACUAAUUAAAA
This is a long non-coding RNA of Salvia splendens (bonfire salvia), 766 nucleotides long. RefSeq lists it as uncharacterized. The transcript has 2 exons. Lineage: Eukaryota; Viridiplantae; Streptophyta; Magnoliopsida; Lamiales; Lamiaceae. The record is from RefSeq and is a predicted model, not a curated record.